This 777-nucleotide ribosomal RNA is filed under the name uncultured Neocallimastigales. RNAcentral's name for it is "partial large subunit ribosomal RNA". It matches the Rfam family "Eukaryotic large subunit ribosomal RNA", at positions 22 to 647 of the family's 3401-position model. Lineage: Eukaryota; Fungi; Neocallimastigomycota; Neocallimastigomycetes; Neocallimastigales. The record is from RNAcentral.
GUACACGCUGUGACUAGCAUAUCAAUAAGCGGAGGAAAAGAAACUAACAAGGAUUCCCCUAGUAACGGCGAGUGAAGCGGGAAGAGCUCAAAUUUGAAAUCUUAAAGGGUUUCCCUUUACGAAUUGUAGUUUAAAGAAGUGUUUUCUGUUGAGGUUUUGGUAAAAGUUCUUUGGAAUAGGACAUCAUAGAGGGUGAGAAUCCCGUAUUUGACCAUUACUUUUCAACUGUGUGAUACACUUUCAAAGAGUCGGAUUGUUUGGGAAUGCAGUCCAAAAUGGGUGGUAAAUUUCAUCUAAAGCUAAAUAUUGGCGAGAGACCGAUAGCGAACAAGUACCGUGAGGGAAAGAUGAAAAGAACUUUGAAAAGAGAGUUAAACAGUACGUGAAAUUGUCAAAAGGGAAGCGUUUGACACCAGUGUUGUUUUUCUGAAAAUCAAUUAAAGAACUGUUUAUGCUAAGUUGUUUAGACUUUAUCAGCUAUCUGCUUAGUUUUGAGCUUUUCUUUAAUGCACUUUUCAGUUAACAAGUCAACAUCAAUUUCUUUUGCUGUAAAAAGUCAUUGAGGAAGGUGGACUUGAGAUUCGUCUUAAGUGUUUAUAGCCUCUUGCCUAUGCAGUCGGAGAGAUUGAGGUCUGCAGCGUAGAUCCUUCGGGGCUAAAUGCAUUUGUGCUAAGUUAUAGCAUUUUAUAGACAACUUGUUGACUAUGAUUUGUCUUGUAGCUUACUCGCUUAUGUUAUUUUACCUACGCUUAGGAUGUUGACGCAUGAGAUAUACGC